GUCCAGGGGCGGGAAUCGAACCCACACCCUUCUGCUUACCGGGCAGGUGCCUUGUACACUCGGCUACCCUGGA
RNAcentral lists this transfer RNA (73 nucleotides) under Cordylochernes scorpioides. RNAcentral's name for it is "tRNA-Thr". Lineage: Eukaryota; Metazoa; Arthropoda; Arachnida; Pseudoscorpiones; Chernetidae. The record is from RNAcentral.